GAUGAACGCUGGCGGCGUGCCUAAUACAUGCAAGUCGAGCGAACAGACGAGGAGAUUGCUCCUCUGACGAUAGCGGCGGACGGGUGAGUAACACGUGGAUACCAUACCUAUAAGACUGGGAUAACUUCGGGAAACCGGAGCUAAUACAGGAUAAUAUAUUGAACCGCAUGGUUCAAUAGUAAAAGACGGUUUUGCUGUCACUUAUAGAUGGAUCCGCGCCGCAUUAGCUAGUUGGUAAGGUAACGGCUUACCAAGGCAACGAUGCGUAGCCGACCUGAGAGGGUGAUCGGCCACACUGGAACGGAGACACGGGCCAGACUCCUACGGGAGGCAGCAGUAGGGAAUCUUCCGCAAUGGGCGAAAGCUUGACGGAGCAACGCCGCGUGAGUGAGGAAGGUCUUCGGAUCGUAAAACUCGGUUAUUAGGGAAGAACAAAUGUGUAAGUAACUAUGCACGUCUUGACGGUACCUAAUCAGAAAGCCACGGCUAACUACGUG
Molecule: ribosomal RNA, 497 nt
Filed under: uncultured bacterium
Lineage: Bacteria
Description: partial 16S ribosomal RNA
Rfam family: Bacterial small subunit ribosomal RNA
Source: RNAcentral